RNAcentral lists this ribosomal RNA (464 nucleotides) under uncultured bacterium. Its description in RNAcentral is "partial 16S ribosomal RNA". It matches the Rfam family "Bacterial small subunit ribosomal RNA", at positions 339 to 795 of the family's 1533-position model. The record is from RNAcentral.
CUACGGGGGGCUGCAGUGGGGAAUAUUGGACAAUGGGGAAACCCUGAUCCAGCAAUGCCGCGUGUGUGAAGAAGGCCUGCGGGUUGUAAAGCACUUUCGGUUGGGAGGACUGCUUCUAGCACUAAUAUUGUUGGAAGUUGACGUUACCUUCAGAAGAAGCACCGGCUAACUCCGUGCCAGCAGCCGCGGUAAUACGGAGGGUACAAGCGUUAAUCGGAAUUACUGGGCGUAAAGCGCGCGUAGGCGGCUAGAUCAGUCGGGUGUGAAAGCCCCGGGCUUAACCUGGGAACUGCAUCCGAUACUGGGUAGCUUGAGUACAGGAGAGGAGAGUGGAAUUCCACAUGUAGCGGUGAAAUGCGUAGAUAUGUGGAGGAACACCAAUGGCGAAGGCAGCUCUCUGGCCUGAUACUGACGCUGAGGUGCGAAAGCGUGGGGAGCAAACAGGAUUAGAUACCCCCGUAGUC